UACUACGACAACGCGGCACAGCAACCCUCCCCCAUCUCCUGACCUCUCUCCAUCCCUCCAUCUUUCUCUCAACUCUUGUCCUAACCCCUUCCCAGACCCCCCGGGGGCUGUGUUCAGUGUGGUGAAAUGUCCACGAUAUUGUAGAUGAGUGGGGGGGUGUAAACACCUAGAGCUUGACCCCAUUAUCUGUUUUACUUGAUAAUGAAUCACCUCUAUUCUACACCGUACGUUUCUAUGUGACUGUUGUGACGUUUCCACUGUUCUGAACAGGACAAAGGAGGGAGAGAGAGGGAGAGCUGGGGGAGAGAGAGCUGGGGGGAGGUAUGUCCUGAUGUAAGGCUUUCUUCACCUCCCUUUUCCUCUCUGCCUUUCCCUCUCUCCCCUCCCUCUCUCCCCUCCCUCUCUCCCUUUCCCCCUCUCUCCCUUUCCCCCUCUCCCCUCUCCCUUUCCCCCCCUCUCUCCCUUUCCCCCUCUCUCCCCUCUCCCUCUCUCCCUUUUCUCCCCUCUCCCUUUCCCCCUCUCUCCCUUUCCCCCUCUCUCUCCCUUUCCCCCUCUCUCCCUUCCCCCUCUCCCCUCUCCCUUUCCCCCCCCUCUCUCCCUUUCCCCCCCUCUCUCCCUUUCCCCCUCUCUCCCCUCUCCCUUUUCUCCCUCUCCCCUUUCUCCCUCUCUCCCUUUCCCCCUCUCUCCCUCUCUCCCUCUCUCCCUCUCUCCCCUCUCUCCCUUUCCCCCUCUCUCCCCUCUCCCUUUCCCCCUCACAGUGCCAUUCUGCAGUACCCACCUGUAUUUGUUGCCAAAGUUAGUGGGGCUGUGCACUUUUCCCCCCGUCCAAUAGCAGCGUGGCUCGAUGUGUCACUCAGUCCCAGAUGUAUGAUUGGCCCAUUCUCAACAGCUGACCCCGCCCCCCACAGAGCAGAGCUUUGUUAAAGCCCCUCCCCCCUUAGCUAAACACUUCAACUGAACUCUCUCUGUCUCUCUCUCUCUGUCUCUCUCUAUCCGUCUCUCUCUAUCCGUCUCUCUCUAUCCGUCUCUCUCUAUCCGUCUCUCUCUAUCCGUCUCUCUCUAUCCGUCUCUCUCUAUCCGUCUCUCUCUAUCCGUCUCUCUCUAUCCGUCUCUCUCUAUCCGUCUCUCUCUAUCCGUCUCUCUCUAUCCGUCUCUCUCUAUCCGUCUCUCUCUAUCCGUCUCUCUCUAUCCGUCUCUCUAUCCGUCUCUCUCUAUCCGUCUCUCUCCCUCUCUCUCCCUGUCUCCGUCUCCGUCUCUCUCUCUCUCUCUCUCUCCGUCUCUCUCUCUCCGUUUAUUUUGGUCUUUGUAUCCAGGUGUCUCCCUCCACCUGUCUGUCUCUGUAUUAAACAACACAUGGUGACAGCCAGUAUUUAUCAUCCAUGACCUGAUUUUUUUUUUUUGGCCAGGAUUCAAUCCCACAAUGCAAUGUUUACGGUAAACGCUGCAUAUGUCGGCUUAAUCUGAAAUUACCCUUUUUAGAAGAAAAGAGGAAAAAAAAGCAGUGAUACAGAAUCGGUUCUGUCUGGAAGUAGAGACCCGCUGGACUCUGAGCGCCGUGUAAAAACUGGAAGUGGAUUCUGGAAUGGCGUUUUAGUCCCUCAUCUCAUAAUAUUGAAUCACAGGAAAUGUACAAUGUCCCAAUGUGUAACCUAAAGGAAAUGAUGUCAUCAUCUAGCUGUGAGCUCAUUGGUUGGAGAUUUUGGACAAUGCGCCAUUUUUUGUAUUUUUUAAAUGGCGCAUUGUCUAAAAAAAACAGCGAUGGUAUUGAAUCCGGGCCUGUCUGGAAGUAGAGGCCCGCUGGUCUCUGAGCGUCGUGUAAAAACUGGAAGCGGAUUCUGGAAUGGGGUUUUAGUCCCUCAUCUCAUAUUGAAUCACAGGAAAUGUACAAUGUUAACCUAGAGGAAAUGUCUUCCUCCUAGCUGUGAGCUCAUUGGUGGAGAUUUUGAUCUCCCAGACAGGAAAUAACUUGUUAAAUGUUGUUUUCAUGAAGGAAGUGUGUGUCCCUACAGCUGUCCAGAGCUUUGAUCCUGGUCGGACGUUAACCUCUCUGACUGGAUCCUGGUCGGACGUUAACCUCUCUGACUGGAUCCCUGAUCCUGGUCGGCCGUUAACCUCUCUGACUGGAUCCCUGAUCCUGGUCGGACGUUAACCUCUCUGACUGGAUCCCUGAUCCUGGUAGGCCGUUAACCUCUCUGACUGGAUCCCUGAUCCUGGUCGGACGUUAACCUCUCUGACUGGAUCCCUGAUCCUGGUCGGACGUUAACCUCUCUGACUGGAUCUUGGUGGGACGUUAACCUCUCUGACUGGAUCCCGGUCGGACGUUAACCUCUCUGACUGGAUCCCGGUCGGACGUUAACCUCUCUGACUGGAUCCUUGAUCCUGGUCGGACGUUAACCUCUCUGACUGGAUCCCUGAUCCUGGUCGGGCGUUAACCUCUCUGACUGGAUCCCUGAUCCUGGUCGGGCGUUAACCUCUCUGACUGGAAGAAUUUAUUUAAUUUUCCUCUCUAAAGGCACAGCCAUUAUCAUGGAGAACGAUCUGUUGGUUAUUGAUAUAAAAACCAUCUCACUUCCUGGUUUCACUCCUCCUCCACAACUGGAAUCUGGUGCUUCAUCUCCUCCAUUAUCAUGUAAAUGUGAUCCGCUGUGAUCGAGCCCAAGAGGUCAAUGAUGUGGCGUUAGUGGAUGGAUGUGUGUGUGUGUUGACUGUUGGUUCACACAGGUGAGAGGUUAGAGUACCUCACUGUAGUUCUUGGUAAUGCCUUCGUCUGACUCAAGUGUUUCUGGGUAAUUUACUAAAUGUAACUAUAUAAAAAAAAUAUUCCACUUUUUUGAUUUUUUUACUUUGUGAAACUGGAACUUUCUGUUUAUUUUUUGGUGAUUUAAAUCUUACUCUUGUGCCAUUGGUUCACCUGGAUGCCAACAACCAAUAAAAAAGGGGAUUUUGAACACUUACUACCUACGUGUCUGUUCUCUCUGUUUUUAUUGGACACUGCAACACAUUGUGAUGGGCGGGUUUUACGUCGCCCUGUCGAAUCAGGAAGUGGAGGAUUUCUUUGACUUGAAACAUUUUUAGUGCACAUCUCCUCCUCUAAAUAUGGUUUUAGGGGCCCAGUUUUUCCCCUCCAAAAAAUAAUCUGUAUUUUGCCUAUUGAAUAGAACGGCGAGUCUCCAUUUCAACGUCGGUGAUUCGUACGCUCUAUUCAUUCUAUUUUUAAACACGUAAUCCGAUUUAUUAACUUUCGGACAACAUAGAGCUUCUACACCUCCAGGGCCUCAACUUACAUUUACCAGCCGAGGUCCUGACUGAGGACCACAGUGGGGACAGCUGGUCUCGCUGGGGUCUGACACAAAAAAAUACAUACUUUACAACUUAAACAUUUUAAGGGGGUGGAAGGUAGCCUUGGGGGGGUUAGAGUAAUUGAAAGGUUGCUAGAUCGAAUCCCUCGAGCUGACAAGGUUAAAAAAAAAAUCUGUCUUUCUGCCCUUUGAACGAGGCAGUUAAUCCACUGUUCGCUAGUAGGCCAUCAUUUGUAAAAUAAGAAUUUGUUCUUAAACUGACUUGCCUAGUUAAAAUAAAGGUCAAAUUUGAGAUGGGAGUUCCAUGGGAUAAUGUACGUUGCCUUGAAUUCGUUCUGGAUUUGGGGACUGAAGAAACCCCGAAUGGCUUUUUUAAUUUUACCUUUAUUUAACUAGGCACAUGGGGACAAAGAUUGUACUUUUUGGGGAAAUGUUCUCUGGUCUGAUGAAACAAAAAUAGAACUGUUUGGCCAUAAUGACCAUCGUUAUGUUUGGAGGAAAAAGGGGGAGGCUUUGCAAGCCGAAGAACACUAUCCCAACCGUGAAGCACGGAGGUGACAGCAUCAUGUUGUGGGGGUGCUUUGCUGCAGGAGAGACUGGUGCACUUCACAAAAUAGAUGGCAUAAUGAGGAUGUAAAAUUCUGUGGAUAUAUUGAAGCAACACCUCAAGCCAUCAGUCAGGAAGUUAAAGCUUGGUCGCAAAUGGACAUUGACCCCAAGCAUAUUUCUGAAGUUGUGGCAAAAUGGCUUAAGGACAACAAAGUCAAGGUAUUGAAGUGGCCAUCACAAAGCCCUGACCUCAAUCCUAUAGAAAAUGUGUGGCUCGAGCAAGGAGGCCUACAAACCUGACUCAGUUACACCAGCUCUUUCAGGAGGAAGGGGCCAAAAUUCACCCAACUUAUUGUGGGAAGCUUGUGGAAGGCUACCCGAAACAUUUGACCCAAGUUAAACAAUUUAAAGGCAAUGCUACCGAAUACUAAUUGAGUGUAUGUAAACUUCUGACCCACUGGGAAUGUGAUGAAAGAAAUAAAAGCUGAAAUAAAUCAUUCUCUCUACUAUUAUUCUGACAUUUCACAUUCUUAAAAUGAAGUGGUGAUCAUAACUGACCUAAAACAGGGAAUUUUUACUACGAUUAAAUGUCAGGAAUUGUGAAAAACUGAGUUUAAAAGUAUUUGGCCAAGGCGUAUGUAAACUUCCGACUUCAACUGUAUAUACCAGGCGGUGUCAGAGGAAAGCCCCAAAAAAUGAAGACUCCAGGCACCCGAGUCAGACUGUUCACUCUGCUACCGCACGGCAAGCGGUACCAGAGCGCCAAGUCUAGGACCAAAAGGCUCCUUAACAGCUUCUACCCCCAAGCCAUAAGACUGCUGAACAAUUAAUCAAAUGGCCACUCGGACAGGCGGGCUGUUUUGUGCCUUUUAUUGAGGAGUGGCUUCUGUCUGGCCACUUUACCGUAAAGGCCUGAUUGCUGGAGUACUGCAGAGAUGGUUGUCCUUCUGGAAGUUUCUCCCAUCUCCACAGAGGAACUCUGGAGCUCUGUCAGUGACCAUCAGGUUCUUGGUCACCUCCCUGACCAUGGCUCUUCUCCCCCUCGAUUGCUCAGUUUGGCCGGGUGGCCAGCUCUAGGAAGAGUCUUGGUGGUUCCAAACUUCUUCCAUUUAAGAAUGAUGGAGGCCACUGUGUUCUUGGGGACCUUCAAUGCUGCAGAAAUGUUUUGCUACCCUUCCCCAGAUCUGUGCCUCGACACAAUCCUGUCUCGGAGCUCUACGGACAAUUCCUUCGACCUCAUGGCUUGGUUUUUGCUCUGACAUCCGCUGCCAACUGUGGGACCUUAUAUAGACAGGUGUGUGCCUUUUCCAAAUCAUGCCUAAUCAAUUGAAUUUACCACAGGUGGACACCAAUCAAGUUGUAGAAACAUCUCAAGGAUGAUCAAUGAAAACAGGAAGCACCUGAGCUCCAUUUAGAGUCUCAUAGCAAAAGGGUCUGAACACUCAAGCAAAAACAAUUCUACAAACCUGUUUUUUUUUUGCUUUGUCAUUAUGGGGUAUUGUGUUUUAGAUCGAUGAAGAUAUAUUUUUAUGUAUUUAAUACAUUUUAGAAUAAGGCUGUAACGUAACGAAAUGUGUUAAAUAGGAUAAAGGGUCAUAAUGCUCUAUAUCCUGUAUUGUAAUAUAUCCUGUAUUGUAAUGUAUCCUGUAUUGUAAUAUAUCCUGUAUUGUAAUUUAUCCUGUAU
This 5532-nucleotide long non-coding RNA is filed under the name Salmo trutta (river trout). RNAcentral describes it as "lncRNA (ENSSTUG00000049343.1)". Lineage: Eukaryota; Metazoa; Chordata; Actinopteri; Salmoniformes; Salmonidae. The record is from RNAcentral.